AUGGGUCGUACCAAUGUCAAUCCUAUUUGGGGUAAGAUUUGGAAAUUAUCAUGUCCGACAAAGGUAAAGAUAUUUAUUUGGCGAACGUUGCAUGGAACUCUACCUUGUCGUGUUACACUUGCCAAUAGACAUAUAAAAGUUUCGCCCCUUUGUCCAUCUUGCUCGAAUGGGCAAGAAGAUACAAAGCAAAUCUUGUUUCUGUGUCAGAAGGCAAAAGAGGUUUGGGGAAAGCUGGGGAUGUACGAGGUAAUUAAGAAAGCUUGUGUUAUUGAUCGUGCGGGUGAGGCGGUUCUUGAAUUUUUACUUUUUAUGCCGCACCAAGAACUAUCUAUAUUAGGUUGCCAAAAUACAAGUGAAUUAAUCGCGAUAACCGCCUGGUAUUUAUGGUGGGAGAGACGCAUGUUGGUUCAUGAAGGGAAAUCUCAAGAAGUGAAUCAGAUUUCGAUGGGGAUUCGUGCUAUAACUGCAAACUAUGUGAAUGCCCACUCCUCUAGUGCGACUAGUAGAAAAUAA
RNAcentral lists this ribosomal RNA (513 nucleotides) under Triticum aestivum (bread wheat). RNAcentral's name for it is "partial small subunit ribosomal RNA". Lineage: Eukaryota; Viridiplantae; Streptophyta; Magnoliopsida; Poales; Poaceae. The record is from RNAcentral.